ACGGAUUAUAGCUUGCUAUAAUUGUCAGCUAAGUGGCGCACGGGUGAGUAAUAUAUAGUUAACCUGCCCUCAAGAAAGGAAUAACAGUUGGAAACGACUGCUAAUGCCCUAUAUGCCUUUAAUACAUAAGUAUGCAAGGGAAACGCUUUAGUGCUUGAGGAUGGGACUGUAUGGUAUCAGUUAGUUGGUGAGGUAAUGGCUCACCAAGACAAUGACGCCUAACUGGUUUGAGAGGAUGAUCAGUCACACUGGAACUGAGACACGGUCCAGACUCCUACGGGAGGCAGCAGUGGGGAAUAUUGCACAAUGGACGAAAGUCUGAUGCAGCAACGCCGCGUGGAGGAUGACACAUUUCGGUGCGUAAACUCCUUUUAUAUGGGAAGAUAAUGACGGUACCAUAUGAAUAAGCACCGGCUAACUCCGUGCCAGCAGCCGCGGUAAUACGGAGGGUGCAAGCGUUACUCGGAAUCACUGGGCGUAAAGAGCGUGUAGGCGGAUAUAUAAGUCAGAAGUGAAAUCCAAUAGCUUAACUAUUGAACUGCUUUUGAAACUGUAUAUCUAGAAUGUGGGAGAGGUAGAUGGAAUUUCUGGUGUAGGGGUAAAAUCCGUAGAGAUCAGAAGGAAUACCGAUUGCGAAGGCGAUCUACUGGAACAUUAUUGACGCUGAGACGCGAAAGCGUGGGGAGCAAACAGGAUUAGAUACCCUGGUAGUCCACGCCCUAAACGAUGCACACUAGUUGUUGUGAGGCUAGACCUUGCAGUAAUGCAGUUAACACAUUAAGUGUGCCGCCUGGGGAGUACGGUCGCAAGAUUAAAACUCAAAGGAAUAGACGGGGACCCGCACAAGCGGUGGAGCAUGUGGUUUAAUUCGACGAUACACGAAGAACCUUACCUGGACUUGACAUAGUAAGAACUUUCUAGAGAUAAGAUUGGUGUCUGCUUGCAGAAACUUAUAUACAGGUGCUGCACGGCUGUCGUCAGCUCGUGUCCUGGAAAUGUUUGGGUUAAUC
This 1010-nucleotide ribosomal RNA is filed under the name Arcobacter suis. RNAcentral's name for it is "bacterial SSU rRNA". It matches the Rfam family "Bacterial small subunit ribosomal RNA", at positions 66 to 1086 of the family's 1533-position model. The record is from RNAcentral. Lineage: Bacteria; Pseudomonadati; Campylobacterota; Epsilonproteobacteria; Campylobacterales; Arcobacteraceae.